RNAcentral lists this ribosomal RNA (1704 nucleotides) under Escherichia coli. Its description in RNAcentral is "partial 23S ribosomal RNA". It matches the Rfam family "Bacterial large subunit ribosomal RNA", at positions 1233 to 2915 of the family's 2925-position model. Lineage: Bacteria; Pseudomonadati; Pseudomonadota; Gammaproteobacteria; Enterobacterales; Enterobacteriaceae. The record is from RNAcentral.
GGAGCGUUCUGUAAGCCUGCGAAGGUGUGCUGUGAGGCAUGCUGGAGGUAUCAGAAGUGCGAAUGCUGACAUAAGUAACGAUAAAGCGGGUGAAAAGCCCGCUCGCCGGAAGACCAAGGGUUCCUGUCCAACGUUAAUCGGGGCAGGGUGAGUCGACCCCUAAGGCGAGGCCGAAAGGCGUAGUCGAUGGGAAACAGGUUAAUAUUCCUGUACUUGGUGUUACUGCGAAGGGGGGACGGAGAAGGCUAUGUUGGCCGGGCGACGGUUGUCCCGGUUUAAGCGUGUAGGCUGGUUUUCCAGGCAAAUCCGGAAAAUCAAGGCUGAGGCGUGAUGACGAGGCACUACGGUGCUGAAGCAACAAAUGCCCUGCUUCCAGGAAAAGCCUCUAAGCAUCAGGUAACAUCAAAUCGUACCCCAAACCGACACAGGUGGUCAGGUAGAGAAUACCAAGGCGCUUGAGAGAACUCGGGUGAAGGAACUAGGCAAAAUGGUGCCGUAACUUCGGGAGAAGGCACGCUGAUAUGUAGGUGAAGCGACUUGCUCGUGGAGCUGAAAUCAGUCGAAGAUACCAGCUGGCUGCAACUGUUUAUUAAAAACACAGCACUGUGCAAACACGAAAGUGGACGUAUACGGUGUGACGCCUGCCCGGUGCCGGAAGGUUAAUUGAUGGGGUCAGCGCAAGCGAAGCUCUUGAUCGAAGCCCCGGUAAACGGCGGCCGUAACUAUAACGGUCCUAAGGUAGCGAAAUUCCUUGUCGGGUAAGUUCCGACCUGCACGAAUGGCGUAAUGAUGGCCAGGCUGUCUCCACCCGAGACUCAGUGAAAUUGAACUCGCUGUGAAGAUGCAGUGUACCCGCGGCAAGACGGAAAGACCCCGUGAACCUUUACUAUAGCUUGACACUGAACAUUGAGCCUUGAUGUGUAGGAUAGGUGGGAGGCUUUGAAGUGUGGACGCCAGUCUGCAUGGAGCCGACCUUGAAAUACCACCCUUUAAUGUUUGAUGUUCUAACGUGGACCCGUAAUCCGGGUUGCGGACAGUGUCUGGUGGGUAGUUUGACUGGGGCGGUCUCCUCCUAAAGAGUAACGGAGGAGCACGAAGGUUGGCUAAUCCUGGUCGGACAUCAGGAGGUUAGUGCAAUGGCAUAAGCCAGCUUGACUGCGAGCGUGACGGCGCGAGCAGGUGCGAAAGCAGGUCAUAGUGAUCCGGUGGUUCUGAAUGGAAGGGCCAUCGCUCAACGGAUAAAAGGUACUCCGGGGAUAACAGGCUGAUACCGCCCAAGAGUUCAUAUCGACGGCGGUGUUUGGCACCUCGAUGUCGGCUCAUCACAUCCUGGGGCUGAAGUAGGUCCCAAGGGUAUGGCUGUUCGCCAUUUAAAGUGGUACGCGAGCUGGGUUUAGAACGUCGUGAGACAGUUCGGUCCCUAUCUGCCGUGGGCGCUGGAGAACUGAGGGGGGCUGCUCCUAGUACGAGAGGACCGGAGUGGACGCAUCACUGGUGUUCGGGUUGUCAUGCCAAUGGCACUGCCCGGUAGCUAAAUGCGGAAGAGAUAAGUGCUGAAAGCAUCUAAGCACGAAACUUGCCCCGAGAUGAGUUCUCCCUGACUCCUUGAGAGUCCUGAAGGAACGUUGAAGACGACGACGUUGAUAGGCCGGGUGUGUAAGCGCAGCGAUGCGUUGAGCUAACCGGUACUAAUGAACCGUGAGG